This 253-nucleotide ribosomal RNA is filed under the name uncultured bacterium. Its description in RNAcentral is "partial 16S ribosomal RNA". It matches the Rfam family "Bacterial small subunit ribosomal RNA", at positions 524 to 776 of the family's 1533-position model. The record is from RNAcentral.
UACGUAGGGUGCAAGCGUUAAUCGGAAUUACUGGGCGUAAAGCGUGCGCAGGCGGUUGUGUAAGACAGAUGUGAAAUCCCCGGGCUCAACCUGGGAACUGCAUUUGUGACUGCACAGCUGGAGUGCGGCAGAGGGGGAUGGAAUUCCGCGUGUAGCAGUGAAAUGCGUAGAUAUGCGGAGGAACACCGAUGGCGAAGGCAAUCCCCUGGGCCUGCACUGACGCUCAUGCACGAAAGCGUGGGGAGCAAGCAGG